This 250-nucleotide ribosomal RNA is filed under the name uncultured bacterium. RNAcentral's name for it is "partial 16S ribosomal RNA". It matches the Rfam family "Bacterial small subunit ribosomal RNA", at positions 524 to 773 of the family's 1533-position model. The record is from RNAcentral.
UACGGAGGGUGCAAGCGUUGUUCGGAAUUACUGGGCGUAAAGCGCGCGUAGGCGGUUUGUUAAGUCAGAUGUGAAAGCCCAUGGCUCAACCAUGGACGUGCAUUUGAAACUGGCAGACUUGAGUAUUGGAGGGGGUGGUGGAAUUCCCGGUGUAGAGGUGAAAUUCGUAGAUAUCGGGAGGAAUACCGGUGGCGAAGGCGACCACCUGGCCAAAUACUGACGCUGAGGUGCGAAAGCGUGGGGAGCAAAC